Long non-coding RNA from Oxyura jamaicensis (ruddy duck), 1218 nucleotides. RefSeq lists it as uncharacterized. The transcript has 2 exons. NCBI's taxonomy places the organism in Eukaryota, Metazoa, Chordata, Aves, Anseriformes, Anatidae. The record is from RefSeq and is a predicted model, not a curated record.
AAUGAUACUUAUUGCCAUUCACUGCCACCUGGGAAACCACAGCUCGAGACUUCCACAUCUGUCAAGCAGCUUUGGCAUUGUAAUGCAGACCCCUGAUCUCUUACAGUCGUAAAAUAUUUUACACACCCAAAGCAGAUAUUAGUCUCCUGCUCUGCUUCCAUAUUAUUCAGUAUACUCUGUACUUGCUUAAUAAUAUGAGUAAAAAGCUGCCACAGACUGCCUGCUAAAGCAAUGAAAUUUUAUUGUUUUGUUAUGAUUAGUUAAAACUGUUUGAUACAGUUGCAGCACAUUUAUAAGAGAAACACAUCUAAAAUGAAUGACCCCAUUUAAAAUACUCUACUCUUUAAUUUGUGCUGUGCUAUGUAAUCCAGCAACAGGAUAGAACCGAUGACCACAAAAUGUACACUGUGCUCCUGGAAAAUAACGAGACCUCCACGAAGCUGCAAGACACCUAACCGAACACUGCUCAAGACAAGAAACAGCGUAAGAUGCAGAAAGUUGUUGUACGAAGAGUGUAGGGGGAGGUAUAAUUUAAUUUUAGAGUGGAAAAUCCCAACCAUUAUUUUACAGUUUAAAUACCAAUAAAAACCAACUUGCUCAGAAUGCGGACCAGAUUGAGCUGAUCUGGCUGGGCCAAGAGAGGUCAUCAGUAGCUGUGUGCCAUCAUCAUCUGUUUUGCAUCCACUUACUGCAGCAAGCAAUGAGAUUCCGAAACUCAUUACCAGUAAAUAAACUUCUUGUGCUGACUAAAAAAUAUCUAUAAAUAAAAUAAAAAUAUAGCUCUCUCUAAAAUGUAUUUGCCAUAAAAACAGAUAAAACAAAAAGCUUAGUAAAAAAUAUACAGUAAAUAUGCCAGCGUCCAUAAAAUAUUAUAUAUCACAAGCUCUCUUUCUCUGCUCUAAUCCUAUUCUCCUACUCCAAAGACAGCAGUGCAUUUUUUUUUCCAUGGGGUCUUCCUUAUCCCCAAAACACAUCUGUCUUGAGUUUCUCUCAGAUUUGUCAGGUGGAUCAGUGCUCCCCAGGGCCUGCUCCAUCUGAAGUAUUUUAAUUUGACUAAACACCUGAUUUAUUUUAUCUCUCCGAUGAGAAAGGCAGUUUGUCUUAAUAGAGCCUGUCAGGCUACAGUCCCAUUCACAGCAAUUUACAGGCAGCCAGGGAUGCUGGAAAAGAAGAGUGCUGUGAUUCUGUAUUUUAUCCUCCUCCAGAAAGCACCUAAAA